RNAcentral lists this ribosomal RNA (410 nucleotides) under uncultured bacterium. Its description in RNAcentral is "bacterial SSU rRNA". It matches the Rfam family "Bacterial small subunit ribosomal RNA", at positions 28 to 420 of the family's 1533-position model. The record is from RNAcentral.
GACGAACGCUGGCGGCGUGCCUAACACAUGCAAGUCGAGCGGAGCCAAUCGACGGAAUCCUUCGGGAGGAAGACGAGGAAGCUUAGCGGCGGACGGGUGAGUAACGCGUGAGUAACCUGCCCAUAAGAGGGGGAUAACACAUUGAAAAGUGUGCUAAUACCGCAUAUUGAGCGAUGACCGCAUGGUCGAUGUUUGAAAGAUUUAUCGCUUAUGGAUGGACUCGCGUCUGAUUAGCUAGUUGGCGGGGUAACGGCCCACCAAGGCGACGAUCAGUAGCCGAACUGAGAGGUUGAUCGGCCACAUUGGGACUGAGACACGGCCCAGACUCCUACGGGAGGCAGCAGUGGGGAAUAUUGCGCAAUGGGGGGAACCCUGACGCAGCAACGCCGCGUGAAGGAAGAAGGCCUCGG